RNAcentral lists this ribosomal RNA (253 nucleotides) under uncultured bacterium. RNAcentral's name for it is "partial 16S ribosomal RNA". It matches the Rfam family "Bacterial small subunit ribosomal RNA", at positions 524 to 776 of the family's 1533-position model. The record is from RNAcentral.
UACGUAGGGUGCGAGCGUUGUCCGGAAUUAUUGGGCGUAAAGAGCUCGUAGGCGGUGCGUCACGUCGGCCGUGAAAACCUGGGGCUUAACUCUGGGCGUGCGGUCGAUACGGGCAGACUAGAGGUAGGCAGGGGAGAGCGGAACUCCUGGUGUAGCGGUGGAAUGCGCAGAUAUCAGGAAGAACACCGGUGGCGAAGGCGGCUCUCUGGGCCGUACCUGACGCUGAGGAGCGAAAGCGUGGGUAGCGAACAGG